AUUGAACGCUGGCGGCAGGCCUAACACAUGCAAGUCGAACGGUAACAGGAAGAAGCUUGCUUCUUUGCUGACGAGUGGCGGACGGGUGAGUCAUGUCUGGGAAACUGCCUGAUGGAGGGGGAUAACUACUGGAAACGGUAGCUAAUACCGCAUAACGUCGCAAGCCCAAAGAGGGGGACCUUCGGGCCUCUUGCCAUCGGAUGUGCCCAGAUGGGAUUAGCUAGUAGGUGGGGUAACGGCUCACCUAGGCGACGAUCCCUAGCUGGUCUGAGAGGAUGACCAGCCACACUGGAACUGAGACACGGUCCAGACUCCUACGGGAGGCAGCAGUGGGGAAUAUUGCACAAUGGGCGCAAGCCUGAUGCAGCCAUGCCGCGUGUAUGAAGAAGGCCUUCGGGUUGUAAAGUACUUUCAGCGGGGAGGAAGGGAGUAAAGUUAAUACCUUGGCUCAUUGACGUUACCCGCAGAAGAAGCACCGGCUAACUCCGUG
RNAcentral lists this ribosomal RNA (490 nucleotides) under uncultured bacterium. RNAcentral's name for it is "partial 16S ribosomal RNA". It matches the Rfam family "Bacterial small subunit ribosomal RNA", at positions 30 to 507 of the family's 1533-position model. The record is from RNAcentral.